GUUGCUCUCUCUUUGUUAUCACACUCUUCUGCUUCACAAAAAGCUUUCUUCUUCUCCUCCCUCUCUCCAUUGCGCCCCUUUACAUUGCUGCUGCACACACCCGACACCCACCACCCACCACUGCACCCGCACCUCCUUCUGCUUCCAGUCGACAAUGAAGAGGCAACCCUUUAGAAGAGAGAGAGGGCAGGGUUGCAUCAAAGAGAGAAGGACUCUUAUUUUAAGGAACUUACUCAAACCUGGAGCAACAUCAACAGGAUCUGAAACUUAUGUUAAGGAGCUUAUUCUAGUUCUACUUAUUUUGUUUAGCAUUUCCGACUUUUUUUUGUUUUAGUGACAAUGAUAUUUGUUGAGAUACUUACCUUUUA
Arachis ipaensis is the source of this 368-nucleotide non-coding RNA. NCBI's taxonomy places the organism in Eukaryota, Viridiplantae, Streptophyta, Magnoliopsida, Fabales, Fabaceae. The record is from RefSeq and is a predicted model, not a curated record.